GGCGAACGCUGGCGGCGUGCUUAACACAUGCAAGUCGAACGGAAAGGCCCUGCUUUUGUGGGGUUCUCGAGUGGCGAACGGGUGCGUAACACGUGAGUAACCUGCCCUUGACUUUGGGAUAACUUCAGGAAGCUGGGCCUACUACCGUAUAGGAGCUCCUCUUGCAUGGAGGGGGUUGGAACGUUUCGGCGGUUGGGGAUGGACUCGCGGCUUACCAGCUUGUUGGUGGGGUAGUGGCUUACCCAGGCUUUGACGGGUAGCCGGCCUGAGAGGGUGACCGGCCACAUUGGGACUGAGAUACGGCCCAGACUCCUACGGGAGGCAGCAGGGGGGAAUAUUGCACAAUGGGCGGAAGCCUGAUGCAGCAACGCCGCGGGCGGGAUGACGGCCUUCGGGUUGUAAACCGCUUUCGCCUGUGACGAAGCGUGAGUGACGGUAAUGGGUAAAGAAGCACCGGCUAACUACGUG
Molecule: ribosomal RNA, 468 nt
Filed under: uncultured bacterium
Lineage: Bacteria
Description: partial 16S ribosomal RNA
Rfam family: Bacterial small subunit ribosomal RNA
Source: RNAcentral